This is a long non-coding RNA of Lolium perenne, 3152 nucleotides long. RefSeq lists it as uncharacterized. The record is from RefSeq and is a predicted model, not a curated record. NCBI's taxonomy places the organism in Eukaryota, Viridiplantae, Streptophyta, Magnoliopsida, Poales, Poaceae.
CUAGCUUCUUGUCGGUAUUCAGUUCUAUAUGGUAGUCCUGGAGGUUGUCCUUGUGGGCGCCCAAACUCCUGAACUUCUCAGAGUAGGGGUUUCCUUUUAGUAUGUCCACUACCUUCCGCACGACCUCUUGGUCCAGGUCUUUGGUGGCUUCCUUGCGAUGUACCAGACUUGGAUCAUCGUCGUAGAAGUAGAGUUGUAGAUGUUCCGGGCGAGAGUUCGGCCCGAAUGAAUGCAUGUUGUGGUACAUCUUGCCUUGAGCUCGGAAUGUGUACACCCCGGACCUCAUGUUUGUGCAGUCGUUGUCUAGGCUGACGCCAAGAGUUGUGAAUGAGAAGUGGCCGUUGAAGAAUCGUAUGCUCUCCCGAAAAUGUCGAGAGUCUGCAUCUGCGCUAGACCAUAACCUCAUUAGCUCCGGGAUAGGCUCUGGUUCAGCCAGCUUUAUAGUUCCGUUUCGACAACAAAAACCAUCGGUCUCACGCUCAAACUUCUUAGCAUGGCAGUGUUCGCAGUUCGGUUCUUGCUUUAGAAUGUGUGUGCUGUUUGGGAGGUUCGAGUACACAAAGUCAAAAGGAUCGAUAGAUUCCGCGCCGGAUGAGUGUGUCGGUGUAUCAAUGUCCAUGUCAUCAGCGUCGUAACCUACAUAUGCAUAGAAUUUCAUAUCAGUAUGUUCAUCUUAACUCGUAUAACAGAGAGGGCUGAUAGAAAGGUUGGCAUAAAUACCUUCACGGGUAUAGCACUGCUCGUCCAUGAGGUCAACAGAGAUGGCAUCCUCGUCCAUGAUACUGCUUAGGAAGCUCUCCAUGUCUCCUACAACAUUAUGGAUUCGGUAACUAUGGCGCUUUAAUGUGCCAAGAUGUAAAUAAAAAAUGUAGUAAAGAUGUGUAUGUUACCCUCGGUCCCAAUGGUAUACGCCGGCAUGCUUGUUGAAGGGGAAGCGGGAGCUGAAUUAUUUUCCUCUCUGGCGGGUAAUUUGUAUGUGCUCGCAUGCAUGUUUAUUGUAGGCAAAGUUGCUGCAGUUGGGCACGGCAUAGCGAUUGAUUCAGCGCAUGGGGUGUUCCUUCUAGCUUCAGCAGUUGCUCUGCGCUGAGCUAGCAAUGCUACCCUCUCCUCUUCAGUUUUGUUUUGCCUAGAUAUGCGCCGUCUUGCAUUCAACUCCUGCUGUUCUUCUUUGGAUUUAUUUUGCCUGCUAGCCCUUUUAUGUAUGUUCCUCUCAUCGACCGACUUGUUUUGCUCGAGUGCUCUUCUACGUGCAUUAAUCUCCUUCCUUUUAUCAUCUGUCAAACUAUUUCGCCGAGCUCUAUCAUUAUCACGUCUUGCUUGAUUUAUAAACUCUGAAAUAUUUUUAAUUGUUUGAUGGUUAGUUGUUCAUACUAUAUAUAUGUUUUUGAAAAUGUACGGGUAUUGUAAAAAAAAUAGAGAAUUACCUUUAAUCAUGACUUCUGGCUGCUUUGGAGUUUGUAUGUCACCGUUGCUCCUUUUCAUCAUGGUUAUUAUGAGAUCGAUAGCUUCGGCAUGUUCAUCAUCACUGCUGAAUGGUUUUGCUGCGGCAUCUUUGUCUUUGCUGGGUGGACACAAUGGGUAGUAUAUGCCUUUCCAUGAAAGUUUGUUAGUUUUAUAAAUAGACACAUGUUUUUUGAAUGUAUAUGUAUUGUAUGAAAUUUGAAAUAUUACCGUUAAUCAUAACUUGUGGUUGUUGUAAGGGUUCUAUGCUAGCGCUGUGGCUAUUUAUCACCGCGGUGUCUUGUUGUGAUGAUACUGAUUUAGUUUUCCUCUGCUUUGCCGAGAACUCUUCGCUUCGACGAUGUAGCAAUGUUUGUCGUUCUCCCGGUGUCACAUGAUUUCUUUGUCUCACAUUUAAGGUAGAUGUACCACCUUCCUGCUGUGUUGCGAUAUAUGCCGGGUUGACCAUCGCAAUUGAUUCUUUGCUUGUCAUGUUGCACUUGUUGGCCUCUUUAUUUUUUUUUGUUUUGCUGAUAGGCUUCACGGCGUUUUUUCAGUUUUUCCUGCUUUUCUUCAUCUGUCAUACGUGCAUGCCGCUCUCUAUCUUUUUUCCGUCUUUGUUCCUUUGCAUCCAUGAUUUUAGAUUGCAGCAAAAAUGGCUUGCCUGCAUGAGAUUUGUACAGUAAGUAUUUUGUGAAGCUAAUUAGAGCAUGUACUAUCUCUUGUUGCAAUAAAUCUAUGGCAGUUGCUAUCCAGGAUGAUAGAACUUGACAGGGUAAACCUAAGUAAGCACACUCCUAAACUUUUCUUGGCAUUCUGUAAUGCUUGUCAUGGUUUAAGUUCUGAUCAGUACACUAUUGGAAUUUUCAUCUCAGUUCAUAUUCAACCUAUAUCCUAUUCGAAUUUCAUCUCAGUUCAUAUUCAACCUAUAUCGAAACUUGAAAAGUAGUACAUCUCAUCUACUUGCUAUUUGGUGCACGGUGGAGAGGGCAUAACCCCCCAAAUAUGAAUUCUUUGCAGGUUUUUUUUUGGUUUUCUACAUAUUACAUUGGCAUAGUCUGAUAUUCAAAUGACAGAUGUCUCGAUUGAGCAAAGUAGUUUGCUCCUUGAAGAUGCCUGGCAAAUUGGUAGCAAGCGUGGAGGAUGGGUGGUUUGACAGUUGGACUUCCGGUGAACAGAGCAAGCGUGGAGGAUGGGUGGUUUGACAGUUGGACUUCCGGCGAACAGCAAUUUCGAGGAAGGAGGGUGAAAUCAAUUUUGAGCACACAGGGGGAAAUCGUGUUGAGUAGUCAGAACUUGUGGUGGUGUGUGUUGCUUAUUCUGUAUGUUUAUAUAGGAGGACCGGAAGAACGAUGUGCUCCUGGUCGAACUUGGUCAGUUGUGUUCGAUCAGGAGACGGUAAGUUUUUUUAUGUUGGACACGGUCAGCUAUGUAUUAUGGGCCUUCCAAUUUAGAUUUUGGUGGCCCACAUAGCCUGAUCGAUUCCACCUUGCUAAUAGCACAAGAUGCCUGAAGAACGAUGUGCUCCUGGUCGAACUUGGUCAGUUGUGUUCGAUCAGGAGACGGUAAGUUUUUUUAUGUUGGACACGGUCAGCUAUGUAUUAUGGGCCUUCCAAUUUAGAUUUUGGUGGCCCACAUAGCCUGAUCGAUUCCACCUUGCUAAUAGCACAAGAUGUAGCGCUCGCGGUAUCGGAUCGUGAGACCUUUGGUUC